CAAGCGAAGCGGGCGUAUUCCAAAUCUGUUUAAAAAACCAGCAAAAGCCGCUGGACUGAACGCAAUACUGAUCAAUACUUCAACUGUUGGCGUGACAUCUCCCCCAAGUGAAGCGCCAAUAGGGGUACCGACGGACUGCGUACCUUUGUUUACUCCUAAUGGUCUUAGCCCGGAUUCCCCCCCCAGAACCCGG
RNAcentral lists this small RNA (193 nucleotides) under Pseudomonas mucidolens. RNAcentral's name for it is "Pseudomonas sRNA P16". It matches the Rfam family "RgsA sRNA". Rfam says of the family: P16 sRNA appears to be conserved across several Pseudomonas species and Azotobacter vinelandii. In these species it is consistently located downstream of a predicted TatD deoxyribonuclease gene. P16 has a predicted Rho independent terminator at the 3' end but the function of P16 is unknown. The record is from RNAcentral. Lineage: Bacteria; Pseudomonadati; Pseudomonadota; Gammaproteobacteria; Pseudomonadales; Pseudomonadaceae.